GGCCGCGGGAAGUCGAGUCAGGCCUAAGACAUGCAAGUCGAGCGGUAGAGAGAAGCUUGCUUCUCUUGAGAGCGGCGGACGGGUGAGUAAAGCCUAGGAAUCUGCCUGGUAGUGGGGGAUAACGUUGGGAAACGGACGCUAAUACGGCAUACGUCCUACGGGAGAAAGCAGGGGACCUUCGGGCCUUGCGCUAUCAGAUGAGCCUAGGUCGGAUUAGCUAGUUGGUGAGGUAAUGGCUCACCAAGGCGACGAUCCGUAACUGGUCUGAGAGGAUGAUCAGUCACACUGGAAGGGAGACGCGGUCCAGACUCCUACGGGAGGCAGCAGUGGGGAAUAUUGGACAAUGGGCGAAAGCCUG
This 358-nucleotide ribosomal RNA is filed under the name uncultured bacterium. RNAcentral describes it as "bacterial SSU rRNA". It matches the Rfam family "Bacterial small subunit ribosomal RNA", at positions 43 to 385 of the family's 1533-position model. The record is from RNAcentral.